CCUACGGGUGGCUGCAGUAGGGAAUAUUGGGCAAUGGGCGAAAGCCUGACCCAGCCAUGCCGCGUGAAGGAUGAAGGCCUUCUGGGUUGUAAACUUCUUUUAUAUAGGAAGAAAAAGGUCAUGCGUGACCAAUUGACGGUACUAUAUGAAUAAGCACCGGCUAACUCCGUGCCAGCAGCCGCGGUAAUACGGAGGGUGCAAGCGUUGUCCGGAUUUAUUGGGUUUAAAGGGUGCGUAGGCGGUCUGUUAAGUCAGUGGUGAAAUCCCGCAGCUCAACUGCGGAACUGCCAUUGAUACUGGCAGACUUGAGUACGGACGAGGUAGGCGGAAUUUAUGGUGUAGCGGUGAAAUGCAUAGAUACCAUAAAGAACACCGAUAGCGAAGGCAGCUUACUAGACCGUAACUGACGCUCAGGCACGAAAGCGUGGGGAGCGAACAGGAUUAGAUACCCUUGUAGUC
This 459-nucleotide ribosomal RNA is filed under the name uncultured bacterium. RNAcentral describes it as "bacterial SSU rRNA". It matches the Rfam family "Bacterial small subunit ribosomal RNA", at positions 338 to 795 of the family's 1533-position model. The record is from RNAcentral.